UAAUACGUAGGGGGCGAGCGUUGUCCGGAAUUAUUGGGCGUAAAGAGCGUGUAGGCUGUUCGGUAAGUCUGCCGUGAAAACCUGAGGCUCAACCUCGGGCGUGCGGUGGAUACUGCCGGGCUAGAGGACGGUAGAGGCGAGUGGAAUUCCCGGUGUAGCGGUGAAAUGCGCAGAUAUCGGGAGGAACACCAGUAGCGAAGGCGGCUCGCUGGGCCGUUCCUGACGCUGAGACGCGAAAGCUAGGGGAGCGAACAGGAUUAGAUACCCUGGUAGUCCUAGCCGUAAACGAUGGACACUAGGUGUGGGGGGAGUCGAAUCCCUCUGUGCCGCAGUUAACGCGUUAAGUGUCCCGCCUGGGGAGUACGGCCGCAAGGCUA
Molecule: ribosomal RNA, 377 nt
Filed under: uncultured bacterium
Lineage: Bacteria
Description: bacterial SSU rRNA
Rfam family: Bacterial small subunit ribosomal RNA
Source: RNAcentral